GCCCAGGUGGCGGAAUUGGUAGACGCAGCAGACUCAAAAUCUGCCGUUCGCAAGGAUGUGCUGGUUCGAUUCCAGUCCUGGGCA
This 84-nucleotide transfer RNA is filed under the name Chitinophagaceae bacterium. Its description in RNAcentral is "tRNA-Leu". It matches the Rfam family "tRNA". From Rfam's summary of the family: Transfer RNA (tRNA) molecules are approximately 80 nucleotides in length. Their secondary structure includes four short double-helical elements and three loops (D, anti-codon, and T loops). The record is from RNAcentral. Lineage: Bacteria; Pseudomonadati; Bacteroidota; Chitinophagia; Chitinophagales; Chitinophagaceae. RNAcentral also lists the same sequence under 5 other names.